UAAAUUUCCUACAGUGGAGUUUGCUCUUCU
This 30-nucleotide non-coding RNA is filed under the name Rattus norvegicus (Norway rat). The record is from RNAcentral. Lineage: Eukaryota; Metazoa; Chordata; Mammalia; Rodentia; Muridae.